Molecule: ribosomal RNA, 519 nt
Filed under: uncultured bacterium
Lineage: Bacteria
Description: bacterial SSU rRNA
Rfam family: Bacterial small subunit ribosomal RNA
Source: RNAcentral
AGAGUUUGAUCAUGGCUCAGGAUGAACGCUAGCUACAGGCUUAACACAUGCAAGUCGAGGGGCAGCAUUGGAGUAGCAAUACUCAGAUGGCGACCGGCGCACGGGUGAGUAACACGUAUCCAACCUGCCGCUUACUCGGGGAUAGCCUUUCGAAAGAAAGAUUAAUACCCGAUGGUAUAAAGAGUUCGCAUGUUCUCUUUAUUAAAGAAUUUCGGUAAGCGAUGGGGAUGCGUUCCAUUAGAUAGUUGGCGGGGUAACGGCCCACCAAGUCUACGAUGGAUAGGGGUUCUGAGAGGAAGGUCCCCCACAUUGGAACUGAGACACGGUCCAAACUCCUACGGGAGGCAGCAGUGAGGAAUAUUGGUCAAUGGACGAGAGUCUGAACCAGCCAAAAGUAGCGUGAAGGAUGACUGCCCUAUGGGUUGUAAACUUCUUUUAUAAGGGAAUAAAGUGAGGGACGUGUCCCUUUUUGUAUGUACCUUAUGAAUAAGGAUCGGCUAACUCCGUGCCAGCCGCCGC